GGAAGGAUCAUUCACACAUUUGCCGCGCAUUGGGUGAUGGCUGGUAGUGCUCUUAGGAGCAUGAAAGCAGUCCUCAAAGCGUUGAGCUCUGCCCGUGUAAUACGCAUUUGGCUUUGUAGUUCUAGGCUGCCAAUUCCAAUUCGUUGGACAAUCCCGUUCCUAGAGCGAUGAGAGAACCACCGGCCGUGGCCUUGCGCAUUCGUGUUAGCUUGACAUGGUUGAUGAGACGAUACGCACGUAGUCUUUGAGGUCGAGUUCGUUGAACUUUGCCUCUUUGGCGAGUGUCGUCGAUUUGUUUCUGCGGGUGAAGUAGUUCUUCAGGCAUUCGUGGCUGGAGGCGAGAAACCCGAGGAUGCAAUAAAAACUUUUAGUCCCUUAACGAUGGAUGCCUCGGCUCGUGAAGCGAUGAAGGACGCAGCUAGGUGCGAUAAGCACUGUGAAUUGCAGAAUUCCGCGAACCAGUAGAUAUCCGAACGCAUUCUGCGCGGGUGGGGUUUACCCCUCUCGCAGGGACGUGUCAGUGUUGGUUUUCAACAUAAACCUUGGACUUACUCCGUAAGAACAAGACGUUGGUUGAACGUGGGUUACCGGCUGUCUUCGGACAAGUAGUAAUUCGUGUUUAUGCCAUAUUUUGUGUGGGGGGCUUUACUGCGCCUCACAUUUACAUUAGAUUCUUUGGCUUCCAUAUGGCUGCUGUUGACCGCUCGUCAGCAGGACGCACGUUUGUCUAGUGGGUUAGCCCAGUAGCUCCAACCGUGUGCGACUGCAUGUGAGUGUGUUGACAGCUUGCAAUAUGUGGAGGCAGCAUUAUUUUCAACCUGACACUUCUCAGACAACCCGCUGAACUUAAGCAUAUCAGUAAGCGGAGGAAAAGAAACUAACCAGGAUUCCCCUAGUAAUGGCGAAUGAACAGGGAGGAGCUCAGUGCCAAAUCAUGCGCUAGUCGUAUGACGUGUGGCUUGCGUGGUUUGCCAGGUUUUUGUCCGGUCAAAGUCCCUUGGAAUAGGGCGCCUGGGAGGGUGACAGCCCCGUCCAUGACUGGUAACGAUUUCCGUACGGCUUUCUGCGAAAAGAGUCGCGUUCUUUGGGAUUGGAGCGCAAAUGGGUGGUAAUUUCCAUCCAAGGCUAAAUAUGACCACGAGACCGAUAGAGAACAAGUACCGUGAGGGAAAGGUCAAAAGAACUUUGAAAAGAGGGUUAAAAGUGCCUGAAAUCGUUAAGGGGGAAGCGAAUGUUGCUGUUGAAUACGCCCCGUUUUGGAUUGUUGGCUUGUUUGGAGUUGUUGGCUAUGUUGGUAGGGAAACCGCUAGCAGGCUGAUUUACUCUUUUCAUCUGAUUUUUCCAAGGUGGGGAUAGCAGCGCCGAUUUUCCGUUUGGGGGCAAAGCCAUGGAUUAGUGUGUUGGACUGCGGUCUUUCGCACUGGCUGUGGUGAUCCCAUGGGGGAAUUGACAAAAGAGUUUGGAAUCCGGACGUGUGGCGAUAUGUGUUUGACUUGGUUCGUUGAAUCUCUCAACGAGGUUUGUCUUGUACGUGUCGCGCUGCGGACGAAACCUUUCUCGAGCGCUGCUACCAACGGCAACAUUUGUCCCGUCUUGAAACACGGACCAAGGAGUCUAACGUGUAUGCGAGUAUGUGGAUGACAAAUCCACGUGCGAAAUGAAAGUGACUCGUAGUUAGUGUGCGUUCGCGUACAUGCAGCUAUGGCCGACCUUGAUCUUCGGUGACAGGUUUGAGUAUGAGCAUACCCGUUAGGACCCGAAAGAUGGUGAACUAUGCCUGAGUAGGCCGAAGCCAGGGGAAACUCUGGUGGAAGGUCGUAGAGAUACUGACGUGCAAAUCGUUCGUCAAACUUGGGUAUAGGGGCGAAAGACUAAUCGAACCAUCUAGUAGCUGGUUCCCUC
This 1902-nucleotide unclassified non-coding RNA is filed under the name uncultured fungus. RNAcentral's name for it is "sequence contains 18S rRNA gene, ITS1, 5.8S rRNA gene, ITS2, 28S rRNA gene". The stretch from base 814 to 1902 matches the Rfam family "Eukaryotic large subunit ribosomal RNA", at positions 1 to 961 of the family's 3401-position model. Lineage: Eukaryota; Fungi. The record is from RNAcentral.